RNAcentral lists this ribosomal RNA (440 nucleotides) under uncultured bacterium. RNAcentral describes it as "partial 16S ribosomal RNA". It matches the Rfam family "Bacterial small subunit ribosomal RNA", at positions 338 to 795 of the family's 1533-position model. The record is from RNAcentral.
CCUACGGGAGGCUGCAGUGGGGAAUAUUGCACAAUGGGGGAAACCCUGAUGCAGCGACGCCGCGUGAGUGAAGAAGUAUUUCGGUACGUAAAGCUCUAUCAGCAGGGAAGAAAAUGACGGUACCUGACUAAGAAGCCCCGGCUAACUACGUGCCAGCAGCCGCGGUAAUACGGAGGGGGCAAGCGUUAUCCGGAUUUACUGGGUGUAAAGGGAGUGUAGACGGCAGCGCAAGUCUGGAGUGAAAUCCCAUGGCUAAACCAUGGAACUGCUUUGGAAACUGUGCAGCUAGAGUGCAGGAGAGGUAAGCGGAAUUCCUGGUGUAGCGGUGAAAUGCGUAGAUAUUAGGAGGAACACCAGUGGCGAAGGCGGCUUACUGAGCUGUAACUGACGUUGAGGCUCGAAAGCGUGGGGAGCAAACAGGAUUAGAUACCCUUGUAGUC